Molecule: long non-coding RNA, 300 nt
Filed under: Brassica napus (rape)
Lineage: Eukaryota; Viridiplantae; Streptophyta; Magnoliopsida; Brassicales; Brassicaceae
Description: long non-coding RNA (BNAP_LNC008215)
Source: RNAcentral
AACCCCGACACAGCCCUAACCCAGGAACCCUUGUCGGCUUAACCUAAUCACGCCUCCUCUCAUCCCGGCGGUUACCGUCGAACGGCUCUCAACCGUCGCGCUUGUCACGGAGAGCAUCAGCGGACUAACCGCAAGCUCAUCCCAAACAUCAACUAGCCUACUGGGCAUAUGAAGCCCGAGUCUCAAGAACACUGCUUUCCUUCUCAUGUCGUCGUCUCCAUCGAUGGAGAGCUUCAUCGGCUACCGAUAGCUCAUCCCUUCAAAUCCGAACAACCAUCCUAACGACAAGAACCACACCGC